RNAcentral lists this long non-coding RNA (566 nucleotides) under Zea mays. RNAcentral's name for it is "drought responsive lncRNA". The record is from RNAcentral. Lineage: Eukaryota; Viridiplantae; Streptophyta; Magnoliopsida; Poales; Poaceae.
AUUCGCUCUGCCUCCAUGGUCUCCACGGUCUGAGCCGCCAGCAUCGAGGGGGAGGGUCGGAGGGACACGAGCGGAUCCGAGGCGGCCUCCAUGGUCUGCGCCGCCACCAUCCGCUCUGCCGCCCUUCGCUCCACUUCGAAGAGCUGGAGCUUGAAGCGCUGAGCCUUUACCUGUGCGCGGACCAAACCAUAGGAUUUGUUCAUGCACGGGAGAGGAAUCAAGAUCUGCGCCUCCUAGACAUCGCGGAUUGUGUCCGCAAGGCCGUGGAGUUUACGGUCCACUGGGGCGCAGCAGUGGCUCUCGCCAUUGCGCACCUAAACUUUGGUGGUAACCUCCAUGAUGCCAUUGGUCUCCCUUAUGGAUCGACGACAGCGGACUUAGACCUUCUAAAUGCACACACGUCACACGACAUGAGUUGGAGAGUAUUAUGGGUAAUUUGGGUACUAAAAUUAAUACAUGAACUACUAGAAUUAAAUUUGGGUAUCUAGAGUUACUAUGUGAAAUUAUUACUCUAUCCUCAUUGAUACGACAACAGCUAUACAUGUCAUGUCACUACUCUCUACGUA